RNAcentral lists this ribosomal RNA (423 nucleotides) under uncultured bacterium. Its description in RNAcentral is "bacterial SSU rRNA". It matches the Rfam family "Bacterial small subunit ribosomal RNA", at positions 355 to 775 of the family's 1533-position model. The record is from RNAcentral.
UGAGGAAUAUUGGUCAAUGGGCGAGAGCCUGAACCAGCCAUCCCGCGUGAAGGAAGAAGGCGCUAUGCGUUGUAAACUUCUUUUUCAGGGGGAUAAAAUAUUGUAUGAAUACGAUACUGAAGGUACCCUGAGAAUAAGCAUCGGCUAACUCCGUGCCAGCAGCCGCGGUAAUACGGAGGAUGCGAGCGUUAUCCGGAUUUAUUGGGUUUAAAGGGUGCGUAGGCGGAAUAAUAAGUCAGUGGUGAAACCCUGCAGCUUAACUGUAGACUUGCCAUUGAUACUGUUUUUCUUAAGUAUGGUCAAGGCAGGCGGAAUGUGUAAUGUAGCGGUGAAAUGCUUAGAUAUUACACAGAACACCGAUAGCGAAGGCAGCUUGCUGGGCCGUUACUGACGCUGAUGCACGAAAGCGUGGGGAUCGAACAG